Hibiscus syriacus is the source of this 260-nucleotide long non-coding RNA. RefSeq lists it as uncharacterized. NCBI's taxonomy places the organism in Eukaryota, Viridiplantae, Streptophyta, Magnoliopsida, Malvales, Malvaceae. The record is from RefSeq and is a predicted model, not a curated record. The transcript has 3 exons.
GCUUGGAUGCAUCUUUGUACUUGGCACAAUCCAUGAAACUUUCUGGUUUGAAACAAAGUUGUGGCAAUCCUCGGCCGCUUUUAGCUUUUAGCUGUGUAUCCGAUGGGAUGCAGACAAUAGAUGCACUCCUGACGUGCAAGGUGAAGAGAAAGAGAAAUGUGAUCGAUUCAGUGAAGGAAAUAAGCCAGCAUGCUGAACAAGGGUUAGUUGGUUUUCAUUAGAGGAUUGUCAGUCCCAACUUGUGUGACUAGAAAAGCAAA